GGGGAAUAUUGGACAAUGGGGGAAACCCUGAUCCAGCGAUGCCGCGUGAGUGAAGAAGGCCUUCGGGUUGUAAAGCUCUUUUAACCGGGAAGAUAAUGACGGUACCGGUGGAAUAAGCUCCGGCUAACUUCGUGCCAGCAGCCGCGGUAAUACGAAGGGAGCUAGCGUUGUUCGGAAUGACUGGGCGUAAAGGGCGUGUAGGUGGUACUAUAAGCAAGAUGUGAAAUCCCUGGGCUUAACCUAGGAAUGGCAUUUUGGACUGUAGGACUCAGUGUGCGAGAGGGGAAAGUGGAAUGGCGAGUGGAGCAGUGAAAUGCGUUGAUAUUCGUUGGAACACCAGAGGCGAAGGCGACUUUCUGGCUCGUUACAGACACUAAGGCGCGAAAGCGUGGGGAGCAAAC
RNAcentral lists this ribosomal RNA (401 nucleotides) under uncultured bacterium. RNAcentral's name for it is "bacterial SSU rRNA". It matches the Rfam family "Bacterial small subunit ribosomal RNA", at positions 356 to 773 of the family's 1533-position model. The record is from RNAcentral.